This is a non-coding RNA of Stylophora pistillata, 73 nucleotides long. The record is from the annotation of a RefSeq genome assembly. Lineage: Eukaryota; Metazoa; Cnidaria; Anthozoa; Scleractinia; Pocilloporidae.
GGUCCGUUAGCUCAGUCGGCAGAGCAUGGUGCUGAUAACGCCAAGGUCAUGAGUUCAACCCUCACACGGACCA